GUGCUCAAUCUGGCAUCACUUAUACCAAAACUGGAAUGAUACAGAAAUUAGUAUGAUCCCUGCACAAGGAUAACACUCAAAUUUGUGAAGCUGAGAGAGAUUAU
Small nuclear RNA from Vulpes vulpes (red fox), 104 nucleotides. NCBI's taxonomy places the organism in Eukaryota, Metazoa, Chordata, Mammalia, Carnivora, Canidae. The record is from Ensembl.